This 405-nucleotide ribosomal RNA is filed under the name uncultured bacterium. Its description in RNAcentral is "partial 16S ribosomal RNA". It matches the Rfam family "Bacterial small subunit ribosomal RNA", at positions 29 to 526 of the family's 1533-position model. The record is from RNAcentral.
AACGAACGCUGGCGGCAUGCCUAACACCUGCAAGUCGAACCGUGGCGCACGGGUGCGUAACGCGUGGGAAUCUGCCCUUAGGUUCGGAAUAAAAGCUGGAAACGGCUUAUAAUACCGGAUGCCUGAGGAUGAGCCCGCGUUGGAUUAGGUAGUGGGUGGGGUAAAGGCCGACCAAGCCGACGAUCCCUAGCUGGUCUGAGAGGAUGACCAGCCACACUGUAACUGAGACACGGUCCAGACUCCUACGGGAGGCAGCAGUGGGGAAUAUUGCACAAUGGGCGCAAGCCUGAUGCAGCCAUGCCGCGUGUAUGAAGAAGGCCUUCGGGUUGUAAAGUACUUUCAGCGGGGAGGCGUUACCCGCAGAAGAAGCACCGGCUAACUCCGUGCCAGCAGCCGCGGUAAUAC